UGGAAGGGCCAUCGCUCAACGGAUAAAAGCUACCCCGGGGAUAACAGGCUUAUCUCCCCCAAGAGUUCACAUCGACGGGGAGGUUUGGCACCUCGAUGUCGGCUCAUCGCAUCCUGGGGCUGUAGUCGGUCCCAAGGGUUGGGCUGUUCGCCCAUUAAAGCGGUACGCGAGCUGGGUUCAGAACGUCGUGAGACAGUUCGGUCCCUAUCCGUCGUGGGCGUAGGAAAUUUGAGAGGAGCUGUCCUUAGUACGAGAGGACCGGGAUGGACAUACCUCUGGUGUACCAGUUGUCGUGCCAACGGCAUAGCUGGGUAGCUAUGUGUGGACGGGAUAAGUGCUGAAAGCAUCUAAGCAUGAAGCCCCCCUCAAGAUGAGAUUUCCCAACUUCGGUUAUAAGAUCCCUCAAAGAUGAUGAGGUUAAUAGGUUCGAGGUGGAAGCAUGGUGACAUGUGGAGCUGACGAAUACUAAUCGAUCGAAGACUUAAUCAAAUU
This 492-nucleotide ribosomal RNA is filed under the name Staphylococcus aureus. Its description in RNAcentral is "partial 23S ribosomal RNA". It matches the Rfam family "Bacterial large subunit ribosomal RNA", at positions 2434 to 2925 of the family's 2925-position model. The record is from RNAcentral. Lineage: Bacteria; Bacillati; Bacillota; Bacilli; Caryophanales; Staphylococcaceae.